This is an RNA transcript of Panicum virgatum (switchgrass), 2226 nucleotides long. It is a transcript of the gene named protein DETOXIFICATION 46, chloroplastic-like, with no coding region annotated. The record is from RefSeq and is a predicted model, not a curated record. NCBI's taxonomy places the organism in Eukaryota, Viridiplantae, Streptophyta, Magnoliopsida, Poales, Poaceae. The transcript has 14 exons.
GAUCCGGAGAAGCACAGGACAACAACCUACCACCACUGCCAUUGCCCUUCCAUUUCGGCUGCGGCGGCACAGGGGGGAGGAGGCAGGCAGGCGGAGGCCGGCGCAGAGGUGAACUAGUUCUGGUCUCCGACUCCUCAGGUGGCGGCAGCGGCGGCGGCGGCGGCAGCAGCAGCCAUGUCCGCGCACCUUCGCCUCCUCUCCGCCGCCCACUCCAUCCCCACCCCCGCACCCACCCGCGCGCCCACUUCCCUCCACCGCCUCCGCCAACGCCUCCCUGCUCCUCCUCCCGCGGCCCGCCUCAGGCUGCUCCGGCCGCCGCGGCUCGAGGAGAGCCCGCGCCUCUCCAGCGCCGCACGCUGCCGCUGCGCCGGCUCGGCGGUCGCCGAGGACGGCGGCGAGCAGGCGGCGGCGGGGAUAUGGGAGCAGGUGCGGGACAUCGUCGUGUUCGCAGGCCCCGCGCUGGGGCUCUGGAUCUGCGGCCCGCUCAUGAGCCUCAUCGACACCAUGGUCAUCGGCCAGACCUCCGCCCUCCAGCUCGCCGCACUAGGGCCUGGGACAGUGUUCUGCGACUACCUAAGCUACAUAUUCAUGUUCCUUUCGGUUGCAACCUCUAACAUGGUGGCCACCUCCUUAGCUAAAAAGGACGAAGACCUUGCACAACAUCAAGUAUCUAUGUUGCUGUUUAUUGCUCUUACGUGUGGCAUAGGAAUGUUUUUGUUCACCAAGGUUUUUGGUACUCAAGCAUUGACUGCUUUUGCUGGAUCAGGGAAUUAUGAAAUUAUCUCUUCGGCCAAUACAUAUGCACAGAUAAGAGGCUUUGCAUGGCCUGCAGUUCUUGUGGGCUUAGUUGCUCAAAGUGCCAGUCUGGGCAUGAAGGAUUCUUGGGGUCCUUUGAAAGCAUUGGCAGCUGCUACUGUGGUAAAUGGUGUUGGUGAUAUAUUUCUUUGCUCUGUUUGUGGUUUUGGAAUUGCUGGUGCGGCCUGGGCAACUAUGGUUUCACAGGUUAUUGCAGCGUUCAUGAUGAUGCAGAAUCUAAACAAUAAGGGUUUUCGAGCUUUCUCAUUUACGAUUCCAUCAGCGAGAGAGCUGCUGCAGAUAUUUGAAAUUGCAGCUCCUGUUUUCGUGACAAUGACAUCCAAGGUAGCAUUUUAUGCAUUGCUCACAUAUUCAGCGACUUCUAUGGGAGCAGUAACUCUUGCAGCGCAUCAGGUUAUGAUUAACAUCUUAUGCAUGUGUACUGUUUGGGGUGAGCCUUUGUCACAAACUGCACAGUCAUUCAUGCCGGAGCUGAUAUAUGGUGCUAAUCGUAAUUUGAUCAAGGCAAGGAUGCUAUUGAAGUCACUUGUGAUCAUUGGAGUGAUUACUGGAGCGGUUUUGGGGGCAGUAGGGACACUUGUUCCAUGGCUUUUCCCUAGUCUCUUUACCAAUGACAGAAUGGUCAUCCAACAGAGUACUGGCUCCAUAUUUCAGUGUGUUGCUGGUGACUCCUUCAGUACACUCCCUUGAAGGAACAUUAUUGGCUGGAAGGGAUCUGCGAUAUUUGAGUCAAUCAAUGGGUGUAUGCUUUUGCAUUGGAACCCUUCUAUUGAUGGUUCUCCGCAACAAAUUUGGUAGCUUGCCAGGAUGCUGGUGGAUACUCGUCUUGUUUCAGUGGAGUCGGUUUGCAAGUGGUUUACAACGGCUCAUUUCUCCAACGGGCAUGUUGUACAAUGAAAAUUUUAACCAGGCUGACUAUAUCAAAACGAAGGCCACGUGAAGAUCGUACAUACCGUUUGAUGAGGUGAGAUCAUGAUGAAGAUACAAAAGGAGAUACACAAACCUGGAAAGAUCAUAGAGCUGCCAUUCUUUGUGCCAUAAGUUGGCCACUUGGCCUAGCUCUGUGUUGGGGGAGAUGUGCAGUAGUGGGCGGUAUUAUUUGGAAGCAAGGUUUGAUACUUAGCCUAGGAGAUUAGGGCCAUGAAAAGGCCAGUUGGCUAGGGUAGAAACCAUCCUCUUGUAUCUUUUUCCCUCGGAAAAUAGGAAUUAUACGUGAUAGGUUCCUGCCUUCCUGGUACCGAGUACGGUAGCGACUACACUGUCAGACACUUGACGCCAUAAGUUUGGAGUUAAGUGAGCUUACAGGGUGCCCUAUUUAUUUUUGUUAAGAAUUACGAGAUGUCUAAUAUCAUGGAAAUUGUUUCAUAAAUCCUGGGAAGUGAGAUUGCAAGAAUGCGUCAUUGGCCUACA